GUGCCUGCUCCACUAUUUUUCCGCUCGGGGUUGCUGCAAGCCACAAGCAGUAGCGGAUGGAACUCCUGCCAACUGACAGAUGCAGCCUUGCGAUUUUCGUACCACACUCUUGCCUCAUCAAGGAGGGAGAUGUGGACGUUUUUAAACAUAAGAAAAAUGCAUAAUAUGACGGAGGAACCCAGGAGUCUACGAGCAACGCAUCUAGACUAUGGAUAGCCUCCAGUGAUGAAGAAUAACCCUCGUCAGACAUGUACAUCGGACGACAGAGUAGAAUACUAAUAAGUGCCUUGCAUGUUUAUAUAAAAUAUAAGAACUUAUGCUAGUGUCUGAGUUUGUUUAUUUAAAGUAAUAAAUGUUCAGCUUGGUAGUGCACCAACCAU
Rhipicephalus microplus (southern cattle tick) is the source of this 380-nucleotide long non-coding RNA. The record is from RefSeq and is a predicted model, not a curated record. NCBI's taxonomy places the organism in Eukaryota, Metazoa, Arthropoda, Arachnida, Ixodida, Ixodidae.